CUACACUAAUACCUCCCAAAUGAUUGGCCCCAAUUGAGCAGCAGCUAUUCUUCGUACUUAGUUGCUUUCCCAAAAUCUUUUGGUGUGUCUGACAGCGGAACCAGAGACAGGAUAUUCUUGCCAGUGCUCUCUUGCCAGCAACCCGAACUCGAUAGACCACACUUAGAUCCCAUAUCUCUCUUCUCACAGCAUCUGAUUCAUGAGUGGGGUCAAACCCAUCAAGGUCUGACUCUGUAACGACGACUACAGAACCAUCAUCAAAAGCCACAAGAUCCUGUGAU
RNAcentral lists this unclassified non-coding RNA (281 nucleotides) under Hevea brasiliensis (rubber tree). The record is from RNAcentral. Lineage: Eukaryota; Viridiplantae; Streptophyta; Magnoliopsida; Malpighiales; Euphorbiaceae.